Long non-coding RNA from Cyanistes caeruleus (blue tit), 426 nucleotides. RefSeq lists it as uncharacterized. The record is from RefSeq and is a predicted model, not a curated record. NCBI's taxonomy places the organism in Eukaryota, Metazoa, Chordata, Aves, Passeriformes, Paridae.
CCACCUGGAGCAAAAGGAAGAUGCGAGCCCCAGCAAGAGGAUGAUGUGUUUGGUCUCAGGGUGCAUCCAUGGGAGAGAGACCCCAAUGCAAAGCAGGGCCAGACACUAUCUCUGCUCUUAAGCAGGAGCUGCAGUAGUGUCAGACAGGGAGUCUGAGCUCUCCAUCCUUGCUGGUUACAGUGGAGCUCCAUGUUCAGCACCUGACUGAUCUACCAGUUUGGAGGGGGGACCCUUUAUGUCCUUUUAAAGGGAGUCUGAGUCAUUUCCUCUGCUGGAGAAUGAACAGUGCUGAGACUGUGCCCUAAGCCCUGCAGUGACACUUCGAGGGAUGGCGAGAGCCCCAUGGGAAAGCUUUCUGCUGGAGCUACUAGAGAUAGAGGAAGAAAUAUCCCCUUCCUACGUGAAUCCACGGACCAGGAGUAAAGA